Long non-coding RNA from Macrobrachium nipponense, 502 nucleotides. RefSeq lists it as uncharacterized. The record is from RefSeq and is a predicted model, not a curated record. The transcript is spliced from 4 exons. NCBI's taxonomy places the organism in Eukaryota, Metazoa, Arthropoda, Malacostraca, Decapoda, Palaemonidae.
AGCCAACGAUUGGUCUCAUAAACAAAUUCGUAAGUGCUGCUGCAAUCUAUUUCUAGUUGUACAAUUACUAAAGUUUCAUUAUCACCACCUCCUUUUCUCUAUCGAUUUUCCCUCUGUCUUACAGAAAGCCGAAAGCGGACAUUCUGAGGAAAAACCUGUACCUAAACCUGAGCCGAUACCUGGUGAAAAGCAAGAUUGUAAACCAACCGACGCAUGUAGUGGUAACGGUGGCUAUUGCAUAGCAAACAGCGAGAAAAAAAGACUGCGACGGCCUCCUCUUUCCAAAUGAGUGUAGAUCUGCCCUGUGCUCCUGCUGUGUACAAGUGAAAAAGAACGAAUGCGCAGCAGGGACAGACACCUGCCCCGCCAACUCAGAAUGCAAGACUAAAGAAGCGGGAUAUGAAUGUGCUUGCAACGCAGGCUUUGAGCAAAGUGGAGAUAUAAAUGAAUGUGACAGCGAUCCAUGUGGUCCAAACAUGCGGUGCCAAAAUACACCUGGAAG